AACGAACGCUGGCGGCAGGCCUAACACAUGCAAGUCGAGCGGGCGUAGCAAUACGUCAGCGGCGGACGGGUGAGUAGCACGUGGGAAUAUGCCUUUCGGUUUGGAACAACUCGGGGAAACCCGUGCUAAUUCCGGAUACGCCCUUAGGGGGAAAGAUUUAUCGCCGAAAGAUUAGCCCGCGUCCGAUUAGCUAGUUGGUGAGGUAACGGCCCACCAAGGCGACGAUCGGUAGCUGGUUUGAGAGAACGACCAGCCACACUGGGACUGAGACACGGCCCAGACUCCUACGGGAGGCAGCAGUGGGGAAUCUUGCGCAAUGGGCGAAAGCCUGACGCAGCGACGCCGCGUGCGGGAGGACGGCCUGGUCGUAACCGACU
RNAcentral lists this ribosomal RNA (377 nucleotides) under uncultured bacterium. RNAcentral describes it as "bacterial SSU rRNA". It matches the Rfam family "Bacterial small subunit ribosomal RNA", at positions 29 to 434 of the family's 1533-position model. The record is from RNAcentral.